GCUCAGAACGAACGCUGGCGGCGUGGAUAAGACAUGCAAGUCGAACGGGAGAAUUGCUAGCUUGCUAAUAAUUCUCUAGUGGCGCACGGGUGAGUAACACGUGAGUAACCUGCCUCUUAGUGGGGGAUAGCCCUGGGAAACCGGGAUUAAUACCGCAUACGAUUGAAAGAUCAAAGCAGCAAUGCGCUAGGAGAUGGGCUCGCGGCCUAUUAGUUAGUUGGUGAGGUAACGGCUCACCAAGGCGAUGACGGGUAGCCGGUCUGAGAGGAUGUCCGGCCACACUGGAACUGAGACACGGUCCAGACACCUACGGGUGGCAGCAGUCGAGAAUCAUUCACAAUGGGGGCAACCCUGAUGGUGCGACGCCGCGUGGGGGAAUGAAGGUCUUCGGAUUGUAAACCCCUGUCAUGUGGGAGCAAAUUAAAAAGAUAGUACCACAAGAGGAAGAGACGGCUAACUCUGUGCCAGCAGCCGCGGUAAUACAGAGGUCUCAAGCGUUGUUCGGAAUCACUGGGCGUAAAGCGUGCGUAGGCUGUUUCGUAAGUCGUGUGUGAAAGGCAGGGGCUCAACCCCUGGAUUGCACAUGAUACUGCGAGACUAGAGUAAUGGAGGGGGAACCGGAAUUCUCGGUGUAGCAGUGAAAUGCGUAGAUAUCGAGAGGAACACUCGUGGCGAAGGCGGGUUCCUGGACAUUAACUGACGCUGAGGCACGAAGGCCAGGGGAGCGAAAGGGAUUAGAUACCCCUGUAGUCCUGGCAGUAAACGGUGCACGCUUGGUGUGCGGGGAAUCGACCCCCUGCGUGCCGGAGCUAACGCGUUAAGCGUGCCGCCUGGGGAGUACGGUCGCAAGAUUAAAACUCAAAGAAAUUGACGGGGACCCGCACAAGCGGUGGAGUAUGUGGCUUAAUUCGAUGCAACGCGAAGAACCUUACCUGGGCUUGACAUGUAAUGAACAACAUGUGAAAGCAUGCGACUCUUCGGAGGCGUUACACAGGUGCUGCAUGGCCGUCGUCAGCUCGUGUCGUGAGAUGUUUGGUUAAGUCCAGCAACGAGCGCAACCCCUGUUGCCAGUUACCAUCGAGUAAUGUCGGGGACUCUGGCGAGACUGCCCAGAUCAACUGGGAGGAAGGUGGGGACGACGUCAGGUCAGUAUGGCCCUUAUGCCCAGGGCUGCACACGUACUACAAUGCCCAGUACAGAGGGGGCCGAAGCCGCGAGGCGGAGGAAAUCCUGAAAACUGGGCCCAGUUCGGACUGUAGGCUGCAACCCGCCUACACGAAGCCGGAAUCGCUAGUAAUGGCGCAUCAGCUACGGCGCCGUGAAUACGUUCCCGGGUCUUGUACACACCGCCCGUCACAUCAUGGAAGCCGGUCGCACCCGAAGUAUCUGAAGCCAACCGCAAGGAGGC
This 1408-nucleotide ribosomal RNA is filed under the name Akkermansia muciniphila. RNAcentral describes it as "bacterial SSU rRNA". It matches the Rfam family "Bacterial small subunit ribosomal RNA". Lineage: Bacteria; Pseudomonadati; Verrucomicrobiota; Verrucomicrobiia; Verrucomicrobiales; Akkermansiaceae. The record is from RNAcentral.